CAAUCUUGUCUGAACUCAAGAGUUAGUU
Molecule: non-coding RNA, 28 nt
Filed under: Rattus norvegicus (Norway rat)
Lineage: Eukaryota; Metazoa; Chordata; Mammalia; Rodentia; Muridae
Source: RNAcentral